RNAcentral lists this ribosomal RNA (768 nucleotides) under uncultured bacterium. RNAcentral describes it as "bacterial SSU rRNA". It matches the Rfam family "Bacterial small subunit ribosomal RNA", at positions 8 to 750 of the family's 1533-position model. The record is from RNAcentral.
AGAGUUUGAUCAUGGCUCAGAACGAACGCUGGCGGCGUGCCUAACACAUGCAAGUCGUACGAGAAAUCCUGGGCAACUGGGAAAGUAAAGUGGCGCACGGGUGAGUAACGCGUGGGUAACCUACCCUUGAAUUGGGGAUAACUCUUCGAAAGGGGAGUUAAUACCGAAUAAUAUUUCAAUUCCUAAGGGAGUUGAAAUCAAAGGUGGCCUCUUCAUGAAAGCUAUCGUUUAAGGAUGGGCCCGCGUACCAUUAGCUAGUUGGUAGGGUAAUGGCCUACCAAGGCAACGAUGGUUAGCUGGUCUGAGAGGAUGGCCAGCCACACUGGAACUGAGACACGGUCCAGACUCCUACGGGAGGCAGCAGUGGGGAAUCUUGCGCAAUGGGGGAAACCCUGACGCAGCAACGCCGCGUGGGUGAUGAAGGCCUUCGGGUCGUAAAGCCCUGUCAGGUGGGAAGAAACUUGUGGAUGAUAAUACCAUCCACACUUGACGGUACCACCGGAGGAAGCACCGGCUAACUCCGUGCCAGCAGCCGCGGUAAUACGGAGGGUGCAAGCGUUGUUCGGAAUUAUUGGGCGUAAAGCGCGUGUAGGUGGUUGGGCAAGUCAGAUGUGAAAGCCUUCUGCUUAACAGAAGAAGUGCAUUUGAAACUGCUCGGCUAGAGUACGGGAGAGGAGAGUGGAAUUCCCGGUGUAGAGGUGAAAUUCGUAGAUAUCGGGAGGAACACCAGUGGCGAAGGCGGCUCUCUGGUCCGAUACUGACGCUGAG